UACGUAGGGGGCAAGCGUUGUCCGGAAUCAUUGGGCGUAAAGCGCGUGUAGGCGGCUCGAUAAGUCUGCUGUGAAAGUCCAAGGCUCAACCUUGGGAUGCCGGUGGAUACUGUCGAGCUCGAGUCCGGAAGAGGAGUGUGGAGUUCCUGGUGUAGCGGUGAAAUGCGCAGAUAUCAGGAGGAACACCAAUGGCGAAGGCAGCACUCUGGGACGUGACUGACGCUGAGACGCGAAAGCGUGGGGAGCAAACAGG
Molecule: ribosomal RNA, 253 nt
Filed under: uncultured bacterium
Lineage: Bacteria
Description: partial 16S ribosomal RNA
Rfam family: Bacterial small subunit ribosomal RNA
Source: RNAcentral